CGCGAGCUGGGUUCAGAACGUCGUGAGACAGUUCGGUCCCUAUCCGUCGUGGGCGUAGGAAAUUUGAGAGGAGCUGUCCUUAGUACGAGAGGACCGGGAUGGACAUACCUCUGGUGUACCAGUUGUCGUGCCAACGGCAUAGCUGGGUAGCUAUGUGUGGACGGGAUAAGUGCUGAAAGCAUCUAAGCAUGAAGCCCCCCUCAAGAUGAGAUUUCCCAACUUCGGUUAUAAGAUCCCUCAAAGAUGAUGAGGUUAAUAGGUUCGAGGUGGAAGCAUGGUGACAUGUGGAGCUGACGAAUACUAAUCGAUCGAAGACUUAAUCAAAA
RNAcentral lists this ribosomal RNA (326 nucleotides) under Staphylococcus aureus. RNAcentral describes it as "bacterial LSU rRNA". It matches the Rfam family "Bacterial large subunit ribosomal RNA", at positions 2599 to 2925 of the family's 2925-position model. The record is from RNAcentral. Lineage: Bacteria; Bacillati; Bacillota; Bacilli; Caryophanales; Staphylococcaceae.